RNAcentral lists this ribosomal RNA (253 nucleotides) under uncultured bacterium. RNAcentral describes it as "partial 16S ribosomal RNA". It matches the Rfam family "Bacterial small subunit ribosomal RNA", at positions 524 to 776 of the family's 1533-position model. The record is from RNAcentral.
UACGUAGGGGGCAAGCGUUGUCCGGAUUUAUUGGGCGUAAAGAGCGUGUAGGCGGCCAGGCAGGUCCGUUGUGAAAACUCGAGGCUCAACCUCGAGACGUCGAUGGAAACCGUCUGGCUAGAGUCCGGAAGAGGAGAGUGGAAUUCCUGGUGUAGCGGUGAAAUGCGCAGAUAUCAGGAAGAACACCUAUGGCGAAGGCAGCUCUCUGGGACGGUACUGACGCUGAGACGCGAAAGCGUGGGGAGCAAACAGG